RNAcentral lists this long non-coding RNA (2421 nucleotides) under Strongylocentrotus purpuratus (purple sea urchin). RNAcentral describes it as "uncharacterized LOC115929238". Lineage: Eukaryota; Metazoa; Echinodermata; Echinoidea; Camarodonta; Strongylocentrotidae. The record is from RNAcentral.
UAGAGCUUGCCGCGUGUUUUAAACUGACUGACGAGUUGACUGCUUGAUGACGUGACUUCGAGAUUUCAAAUAAUCUGUUAGACUGCGACACCGAGGCAACUAUGUGAAAGCGCAAAAGCAUCGCCAGGAAGGCAGAGGACACGUCAAACCUGGUAUCGGAAGAUGAUGCUGUGUAGAAGCGAAAGAGACGUCUUCCCCAGAGAUUUAGCAAAUCUUCUAGUGAUUCCGGAAUUGACGCUGAUCUUGAAUCGGUUAGGACCAAAGAAAACAACAUGUACGCGGAGGAACGAUUAAGGCUGUGGCAGCAGAGAUACCAAUGCCGAAACUGAAUGCGAAGUCCAAGUCCACAUCACAUUUUUCAGUUCCAACCCACAACUCCAGCAAGGGCUCGGGCUUCGGAAAGCAAUUUUCAAGUGCAGGUACUGUGUACGCUGCAGAGGCUGGAGGAAGGGCAGCAGCAGCUGAAGCAGUUGGUACAAAAACUGCUUUUGUCCAAAUCGGGAGCGGCCGUUGGUGUGGAAGACCUGAGGGAGCCGUUUACCAAACCAGUGAACACCAAAUUUUCAUUCAAGGUAGAUUAAGAUACCUUCAUUCAGGGGCAAUGCAAAAAUCCUAAAACUCGUAUUGAAACCAAAUUUGACCAUUUCAGCUAAUAAUGGAGAAACUUUAUCAGCGACAUAACAGUUUUGUUGGUGCAUCUUUUUUAAUUGAAUUGCCAUCAUCUUGUUGAGAAUGCAAGACAAAGUUGUAUAGGUCUGUAAAUUUACUACUUUUUGUAAGGAUGCUGAAACCGAUGGCCCGAAUUCACAAAGGAGGUUUGAGCUCAAACCUUGGUUUUCGUACGUCAUAUGACGCGUUUUACGCGUUUUUUACAAACCUGGUUUGUAAAGAACAAAAGGAGGUUUGGCGAAACAAAAGGAGGUUUGAGCUCAAACCUUGGUCUGAGCUCAAACCUUGCUUUGUGAAUUCGGGCCAAUGUGUGUGCUGCCAAACUCUCUUAUAACCUUGUCUUCUAUAUUCAUAGACCCUUAAAUUUGAGUAUUUAUAUUUGCCUGUUAAUAAUUCAUAUCAACUCAAUUCUAUCAGUUUAUUGUAAAAAGCUUUUUGUAGAUUGUUCAUGUGUUUUGUGUUGAUUUUAUAUUUGAAGUAAGAUGCAAGGCUUCUGGGAAAUCUUAACCUGCCCACUAAAUCUUUGGUCGAUCAAAAGGACAAUUUUUUACUGGGAUUUAAAGGGGAAAUCUACCCUAGAAAUUUCACUGCUUCAAUCAAAGGAGACAAAUUUGAACAAAAUUAAAAAUAAGAAAUGGGCAAACUCGGUAAGGAAACUACUCUUUUUUUUAACAUUUUCUAGUAAAUUACUCCCGGCUAUUCAAAUUGACAAUGCUGAUGACAUCUUGAGUAGCUCUAAAUUCACUUUGUGCACAAAAUUUCACAUUUUCUAACCCCCAUAGUCAAAGCAUGUUGUGUAGAAAGCUACUCGUCAUUAGUAAUCUGAACAUACUCUGAUUAAAAGCUGUGGAAAUGUGUAACUUUAAGGAAAAUUUAGAAAAUAUGAAAUUUUGAGUACAAAGUUGAUGGAUAGCUACUCACAGUGGUGUCAUCAGUGUUGCCAAUUUGUAGAGCUGAAACGAGUGUAGUUUCCUUGUUUUUUUUGGCCGUACUUUCACUUGAAAUGUGACUUCUCAAAAUAGUCACAUUUUUAUCACUUGUAGAAGUUGAUGAGAAAGUAAAUACAUGUACUCUUUUGAAUAGUUAUAAUUUGCACCGGAUGAUGAAGCUAAUCCUGGGUGGAGGCACAUAGCUAAAUCGGUUAUUCACAUGUAUUUAAUGAUAAUUUGUGACAUUUUGUUAAAAGGUUCUGGUGAAUUUGAUAUAGUACACAAAAAAUUCAAUCCACUAUUUGGUUUUACCAAAGAUCAAGACUUAUUAUAGAAAGAUUUCUUAAUCAUUUGCUGGGGCAUCUUUUGGCAUGAAUUGCCAGGUUCUGUAAAUAACUCAAAUUGCUUUUAUAAAGUGUGUUACCAAAGUUGCUAUAUGUGUGCUGCCAAAUUAUUGACACUAUUCAAAGUAUUCAUUUUAUCUUGCCUUGUUUAUUCAUAGAGACAUAGACCCGUGAAUUAUAUGAGUAUUCAUAUUUGCCAGUUAAUGAGGCAUAUCUUCAACUCAUCUAUCAUUUUCUUAUGUUUUAUUUUUAGAUUGUUCAUGUGUUAUGUAUCUAUAGUUUUAAAGGGAUAGUUUAGUAUUGGUCAAACUUAACUUUAAAACCAAAACCUGCACCAUCACGGUGCAAAGUAAUAAUUACAAACGGCCAAGUAAAGCCCCUGUUAUUAUUCAAAAUGACCCGUUACUUUCAGUUUCUGCAUUUAAUGUUUGUUAAAAUAAUAAUUAAAUAAAUAUCUAUAUCAAUUGCUUUUUAAAGAA